This 657-nucleotide ribosomal RNA is filed under the name Drosophila guttifera. RNAcentral's name for it is "eukaryotic LSU rRNA". It matches the Rfam family "Eukaryotic large subunit ribosomal RNA", at positions 100 to 638 of the family's 3401-position model. The record is from RNAcentral. Lineage: Eukaryota; Metazoa; Arthropoda; Insecta; Diptera; Drosophilidae.
GAAAUCAGUUCAGCACUAAGUCACUUUGUCUAUAUGGCAAAUGUGAGAUGCAGUGUAUGGAACAUCAAUAUUCUAGUAUGAGAAAUUAACGAUUUAAGUCCUUCUUAAAUGAGGCCAUUUACCCAUAGAGGGUGCCAGGCCCGUAUAACGUUAAUGAUUACUAGAUGGUGUUUCCAAAGAGUCGUGUUGCUUGAUAGUGCAGCACUAAGUGGGUGGUAAACUCCAUCUAAAACUAAAUAUAACCAUGAGACCGAUAGUAAACAAGUACCGUGAGGGAAAGUUGAAAAGAACUCUGAAUAGAGAGUUAAAUAGUACGUGAAACUGCUUAGAGGUUAAGCCCGAUGAACCUGAAUAUCCGUUAUGGAAAAUUCAUCAUUAGAGUUGUAAUAUUUAAACAAUAUUAUAAUAAUAGUGUGCAUUUUUUCCAUAUAAGGACAUUGUAAUCUAUUAGUAUCAAAAAUUUAUCAAAAAAUUUAAGACCAAAAGCUUAUUUAAAUUAAAAUGCUUGCAUUUUAACAUAAAAUAAAUAUCAUAAAUUUGAUAAAGUGCUGAUAGAUUUAUAUGAAUACAGUGCGUUAAUUUUUCGGAAUUAUAUAAUGGCAUGAUUAUCAUUGAUUUUUAUGUUUAUUAUAUGCACUUGUAUGAUAACAAUGCGAA